GUGAAUCAUCGAAUCUUUGAACGCACCUUGCGCUCCUUGGUAUUCCUCGGAGCAUGCCUGUUUGAGUAUCAUGAAAUCUUCAAAAUAAAUCUUUUGUUCACUCGAUUGAUUUUAUUUUGGACUUGGAGGCUUGCAGAUUCACGUCUGCUCCUCUUAAAUUUAUUAGCUGGAUCUCGGUGAGCUCGGUUCCACUCGGCGUGAUAAGUAUCACUCGCUGAGGACACUGUAAAAGGUGGCCGGGAUUGCGGAUGAACCGCUUCUAAUAGUCCAUUGACUUGGACAAUAAAUACUUUAUGAUCUGAUCUCAAAUCAGGUAGGACUACCCGCUGAACUUAAGCAUAUCAAUAAGCGGAGGAAAAGA
Molecule: ribosomal RNA, 361 nt
Filed under: Ceratobasidiaceae sp. UAMH 5443
Lineage: Eukaryota; Fungi; Basidiomycota; Agaricomycetes; Cantharellales; Ceratobasidiaceae
Description: eukaryotic LSU rRNA
Rfam family: Eukaryotic large subunit ribosomal RNA (bases 300-361)
Source: RNAcentral